GACGAACGCUGGCGGCGCGCUUAACACAUGCAAGUCGAACGGAAAGGCCUGCUUUCCCUUGUGGAUUGCGGGUACUCGAGUGGCGAACGGGUGAGUAACACGUGAGUGAUCUGCCCCCAACUUGGGUAUAAGCCUGGGAAACUGGGUCUAAUUCCCGAUAGGACUGCAGGGUGGUGCCUGUGGUGGAAAACGAUUUUCUAGUGGUUGGGGAUGAGCUCGCGGCCUAUCAGCUUGUUGGUGGGGUAAUGGCCUACCAAGGCGGCGACGGGUAGCCGGCCUGAGAGGGUGGACGGCCACAUUGGGACUGAGAUACGGCCCAGACUCCUACGGGAGGCAGCAGUGGGGAAUAUUGCACAAUGGGCGGAAGCCUGAUGCAGCGACGCCGCGUGGGGGAUGACGGCCUUCGGGUUGUAAACUCCUUUCGACCGCGAGGAAGCCACCUGGUUGGAAGGGUGGUGACGGUAGUGGUAGAAGAAGCACCGGCUAACUA
This 490-nucleotide ribosomal RNA is filed under the name uncultured bacterium. RNAcentral's name for it is "partial 16S ribosomal RNA". It matches the Rfam family "Bacterial small subunit ribosomal RNA", at positions 28 to 503 of the family's 1533-position model. The record is from RNAcentral.